RNAcentral lists this ribosomal RNA (498 nucleotides) under uncultured bacterium. RNAcentral describes it as "partial 16S ribosomal RNA". It matches the Rfam family "Bacterial small subunit ribosomal RNA", at positions 30 to 523 of the family's 1533-position model. The record is from RNAcentral.
AUUGAACGCUGGCGGCAUGCUUUACACAUGCAAGUCGAACGGUAACAGGCCGCAAGGUGCUGACGAGUGGCGAACGGGUGAGUAAUGCAUCGGAACGUGCCCAGUCGUGGGGGAUAACGCAGCGAAAGCUGCGCUAAUACCGCAUACGAUCUAUGGAUGAAAGCGGGGGACCGUAAGGCCUCGCGCGAUUGGAGCGGGCGAUGUCAGAUUAGGUAGUUGGUGGGGUAAAGGCUCACCAAGCCAACGAUCUGUAGCUGGUCUGAGAGGACGACCAGCCACACUGGGACUGAGACACGGCCCAGACUCCUACGGGAGGCAGCAGUGGGGAAUUUUGGACAAUGGGCGCAAGCCUGAUCCAGCAAUGCCGCGUGCAGGAAGAAGGCCUUCGGGUUGUAAACUGCUUUUGUCCGGAACGAAAAGGCUCUGGUUAAUACCUGGGGCUCAUGACGGUACCGUAAGAAUAAGCACCGGCUAACUACGUGCCAGCCGCCGCCGUAA